This 1401-nucleotide ribosomal RNA is filed under the name metagenome. RNAcentral describes it as "bacterial SSU rRNA". It matches the Rfam family "Bacterial small subunit ribosomal RNA", at positions 9 to 1386 of the family's 1533-position model. The record is from RNAcentral.
GGGUUUGAUUCUGGCUCAGAGCGAACGCUGGCGGCGUGUCUGAUUCAUGCAAGUCGAACGGAAAGGCCCCUUCGGGGGCGCUCGAGUGGCGAAAGGCCGAGUAACGCAUGGGUAACAUGCCCCUGAGAUCGGGAUAACUUCGCGAAAGCGAUGCUAAUACCGGGUACGUUCACCCCUCGCAUGGGGGGUGAAGAAAGGCGGGGACCCUUCGGGGCCCGUCACUCAGGGAUUGGCCCAUGUCCUAUUAGCUAGUUGGUGGGGUAACGGCCCACCAAGGCAUAGAUGGGUAGCCGACCUGAGAGGGUGAUCGGCCGGACUGGGACUGAGAUACUGCCCAGACUCCUACGGGAGGCAGCAGAGGAGAAUCAUCCACAAUGGGCGAAAGCCUGAUGGUGCGACGCCGCGUGGGGGAUGAAGGCCUUAGGGUUGUAAACCCCUGUUGAGAACAAGGAAUGCAUGGAGGGUUAAUACCCCUCUUUGUUGACCUAUUCUUGAGGAAGCUCCGGCUAACUCCGUGCCAGCAGCCGCGGUAAGACGGAGGGAGCAAGCGUUGCUCGGAAUCACUGGGCGUAAAGGGCGUGUAGGCGGAUUGGCAAGUCAAGUGUGAAAUGCCUCGGCUCAACCGAGGAACUGCGCUUGAAACUGCUUGUCUUGAGUGUGGGAGGGGAGAGCGGAACUCCUGGUGGAGCGGUGAAAUGCGUAGAUAUCAGGAGGAACGCCGGUGGCGAAAGCGGCUCUCUGGUCCACAACUGACGCUGAGGCGCGAAAGCCAGGGUAGCGAACGGGAUUAGAUACCCCGGUAGUCCUGGCCCUAAACGAUGGGCGCUAGGUAGAUGGGACUUCGGUUCUGUCUGCCGUAGCUAACGUGUUAAGCGCCCCGCCUGGGGAGUAUGGUCGCAAGGCUAAAACUCAAAGAAAUUGACGGGGGCUCGCACAAGCGGUGGAGGAUGUGGCUUAAUUCGAGUCAACGCGAAGAACCUUACCGGGGUUUGACAUGUAUGUGGUACGAACCCGAAAGGGCAAGGACCCGAUUUUAUCGGGAGCAUACACAGGUGUUGCAUGGCUGUCGUCAGCUCGUGUCGUGAGAUGUUGGGUUAAGUCCCUCAACGAGCGAAACCCUUAUCCUUAGUUGCCAGCGCGUCAUGGCGGGGACUCUAAGGAGACUGCCGGUGUUAAACCGGAGGAAGGUGGGGAUGACGUCAAGUCCUCAUGGCCCUUACGCCCCGGGCUGCACACGUCCUACAAUGGUCGGUACAAAGGGAUGCAAGACCGCGAGGUGGAGCAAACCCCAAAAAGCCGGCCUCAGUUCGGAUCGCAGGCUGCAAUUCGCCUGCGUGAAGCCGGAAUCGCUAGUAAUCGCGUAUCAGCAUGACGCGGUGAAUAUGUUCCCGAGCCUUGUAC